RNAcentral lists this long non-coding RNA (534 nucleotides) under Felis catus (domestic cat). RNAcentral describes it as "lncRNA (ENSFCAG00000044150.2)". Lineage: Eukaryota; Metazoa; Chordata; Mammalia; Carnivora; Felidae. The record is from RNAcentral.
CUCUUGGAGCAGUUAACGCUGCCUUGUGGCUACCGGGAUUGUCUGUUCUGGCUAAAUCCUCAGGAUCUGCCUAUGAAAAAUAUGAAGGAAAGCACCUGCAUACUUUGCUCUAGGAAUGCAGAAUUGUGCAAGAGUCUAAAAGACAGGGAAAAAGAAGAGCCACAAGACUAUUCCUGAUCCUGGAGAUAGAAUGAUACAGCCUAGAGAAUGGAUCUUCUCUCAUUACAGCUGAAUUCCUGGAAAAUGGCCCUAAUCUUCCACUUUGAAGGACUCACCCCCAAAACACAGAGCAGAGCUUUCUGGAAUUCCUAUUGUGUGGUGAGUUCUCUAUGGAUGUUUUUUUGAAAUGAAUGAGUUGGAGUCUCUAGAAGAUUCUUCAGUCCCUUCUGAGUGAUUAGGGAAAAGUUGCAUUAGAAAAUGAGUUUUCCGAGGGCAUCUGGGUUGUUCAGUCAGUUGAGCAUCUGACUCUUGAUUUCAGGUCAUGAUUUCACAGUUUGUGGGAUCAAGCCCCACUUAGGAUUUUCUCUCUCCCCC